AUAGCCUGCAUGUCUAAGUAUAAGCAAUCUAUACGGUGCAACUGCGAAUGGCUCAUUAAAUCAGUUAUCGUUUAUUUGAUAGUACCUUACUACUUGGAUAACCGUGGUAAUUCUAGAGCUAAUACAUGCUAAAAACCCCGACUUCGGAAGGGGAGUAUUUAUUAGAUAAAAAACCAAUGCCCUUCGGGGCUCCUUGGUGAUUCAUAAUAACUUAACGAAUCGCAUGGCCUUGUGCCGGCGAUGGUUCAUUCAAAUUUCUGCCCUAUCAACUUUCGAUGGUAGGAUAGUGGCCUACCAUGGUUUCAACGGGUAACGGGGAAUUAGGGUUCUAUUCCGGAGAGGGAGCCUGAGAAACGGCUACCACAUCCAAGGAAGGCAGCAGGCGCGCAAAUUACCCAAUCCCGACACGGGGAGGUAGUGACAAUAAAUACUGAUACAGGGCUCUUUUGGGUCUUGUAAUUGGAAUGAGUACAAUUUAAAUCCCUUAACGAGGAACAAUUGGAGGGCAAGUCUGGUGCCAGCAGCCGCGGUAAUUCCAGCUCCAAUAGCGUAUAUUAAAGUUGUUGCAGUUAAAAAGCUCGUAGUUGAACCUUGGGCCUGGCUGACCGGUCCGCCUCACCGCGUGCACUGGUUCGGCCGGGCCUUUCCUUCUGGGGAGCCGCAUGCCCUUCACUGGGUGUGUCGGGGAACCAGUACUUUUACUUUGAAAAAAUUAGAGUGUUCAAAGCAGGCCUAUGCUCGAAUACAUUAGCAUGGAAUAAUAGAAUAGGACGUGUGGUUCUAUUUUGUUGGUUUCUAGGACCGCCAUAAUGAUAA
Molecule: ribosomal RNA, 816 nt
Filed under: uncultured Ascomycota
Lineage: Eukaryota; Fungi; Ascomycota
Description: SSU rRNA
Rfam family: Eukaryotic small subunit ribosomal RNA
Source: RNAcentral